This 232-nucleotide ribosomal RNA is filed under the name uncultured bacterium. Its description in RNAcentral is "partial 16S ribosomal RNA". It matches the Rfam family "Bacterial small subunit ribosomal RNA", at positions 545 to 776 of the family's 1533-position model. The record is from RNAcentral.
UCGGAAUUAUUGGGCGUAAAGAGCUCGUAGGCGGUCUGUUACGUCUGCUGUGAAAACCCAGGGCUUAACCCUGGGCUUGCAGUGGAUACGGGCAGACUAGAGGCAGGUAGGGGAGAAUGGAAUUCCCGGUGUAGCGGUGAAAUGCGCAGAUAUCGGGAGGAACACCGGUGGCGAAGGCGGUUCUCUGGGCCUGACCUGACGCUGAGGAGCGAAAGCGUGGGGAGCAAACAGG